CUCUCUUUCUUCUAUCGAAUUCGAUCUGUCCCUGUAACCAGAAACCUAAAAUGUCUCACUUCGGUAGGUCUGGCCCUCCUGAUAUUGUUGACACGUACUCCCUGCUUGUCCUCAACAUCACCUUCCGUACUACUGCUGAUGAUCUGUUUCCUCUUUUUGACAAGUACGGGAAGGUCGUCGACAUCUUUAUCCCCAGAGAUCGAAGGACUGGUGACUC
This 217-nucleotide unclassified non-coding RNA is filed under the name Hevea brasiliensis (rubber tree). The record is from RNAcentral. Lineage: Eukaryota; Viridiplantae; Streptophyta; Magnoliopsida; Malpighiales; Euphorbiaceae.